AUUUCUAGCUUGCUAGAAGAUGACGAGCGGCGGACGGGUGAGUAAUACUUAGGAAUCUACCUAGUAGUGGGGGAUAGCUCGGGGAAACUCGAAUUAAUACCGCAUACGACCUACGGGAGAAAGGGGGCAACUUGUUGCUCUCGCUAUUAGAUGAGCCUAAGUCGGAUUAGCUAGAUGGUGGGGUAAAGGCCUACCAUGGCGACGAUCUGUAGCUGGUCUGAGAGGAUGAUCAGCCACACCGGGACUGAGACACGGCCCGGACUCCUACGGGAGGCAGCAGUGGGGAAUAUUGGACAAUGGGGGAAACCCUGAUCCAGCCAUGCCGCGUGUGUGAAGAAGGCCUUUUGGUUGUAAAGCACUUUAAGCAGUGAAGAAGACUCUUCGGUUAAUACCCGGAGACGAUGACAUUAGCUGCAGAAUAAGCACCGGCUAACUCUGUGCCAGCAGCCGCGGUAAUACAGAGGGUGCAAGCGUUAAUCGGAAUUACUGGGCGUAAAGCGAGCGUAGGUGGCUUGAUAAGUCAGAUGUGAAAUCCCCGGGCUUAACCUGGGAACUGCAUCUGAUACUGUCAGGCUAGAGUAGGUGAGAGGAAGGUAGAAUUCCAGGUGUAGCGGUGAAAUGCGUAGAGAUCUGGAGGAAUACCGAUGGCGAAGGCAGCCUUCUGGCAUCAUACUGACACUGAGGCUCGAAAGCGUGGGUAGCAAACAGGAUUAGAUACCCUGGUAGUCCACGCCGUAAACGAUGUCUACUAGUCGUUGGGUCCCUUGAGGACUUAGUGACGCAGCUAACGCAAUAAGUAGACCGCCUGGGGAGUACGGCCGCAAGGUUAAAACUCAAAUGAAUUGACGGGGGCCCGCACAAGCGGUGGAGCAUGUGGUUUAAUUCGAUGCAACGCGAAGAACCUUACCUGGUCUUGACAUAUCUAGAAUCCUGCAGAGAUGCGGGAGUGCCUUCGGGAAUUAGAAUACAGGUGCUGCAUGGCUGUCGUCAGCUCGUGUCGUGAGAUGUUGGGUUAAGUCCCGCAACGAGCGCAACCCUUGUCCUUAGUUACCAGCGGGUUAAGCCGGGAACUCUAAGGAUACUGCCAGUGACAAACUGGAGGAAGGCGGGGACGACGUCAAGUCAUCAUGGCCCUUACGACCAGGGCUACACACGUGCUACAAUGGUAGGUACAGAGGGCAGCUACACAGCGAUGUGAUGCGAAUCUCAAAAAGCCUAUCGUAGUCCAGAUUGGAGUCUGCAACUCGACUCCAUGAAGUAGGAAUCGCUAGUAAUCGCGGAUCAGAAUGCCGCGGUGAAUACGUUCCCGGGCCUUGUACACACCGCCCGUCACACCAU
This 1338-nucleotide ribosomal RNA is filed under the name Psychrobacter sp. Its description in RNAcentral is "bacterial SSU rRNA". It matches the Rfam family "Bacterial small subunit ribosomal RNA", at positions 71 to 1405 of the family's 1533-position model. The record is from RNAcentral. Lineage: Bacteria; Pseudomonadati; Pseudomonadota; Gammaproteobacteria; Moraxellales; Moraxellaceae.